GCGGUGACGCAGGGUCGGAAAGAAGCCGGCGGCACAACUCUGGCCUGACGGACAGAAACCCGAUACAAGGCCGACAGACAUGAGGCAAGUCUGCAUAAUAAGACGAAACCCGAUAUCCAUUCGGAAAGUCUGUAGGUAAAUCGGGCAGGCAUAAGAGCGAAAGAG
RNAcentral lists this non-coding RNA (165 nucleotides) under bovine gut metagenome. The record is from RNAcentral.